AUUGAACGCUGGCGGCAUGCUUUACACAUGCAAGUCGAACGGCAGCGCGGGCUUCGGCCUGGCGGCGAGUGGCGAACGGGUGAGUAAUACAUCGGAACGUGCCCAGUAGUGGGGGAUAGCUCGGCGAAAGCCGGAUUAAUACCGCAUACGACCUGAGGGUGAAAGCGGGGGAUCUUCGGACCUCGCGCUAUUGGAGCGGCCGAUGGCAGAUUAGCUAGUUGGUGGGGUAAAGGCCCACCAAGGCGACGAUCUGUAGCUGGUCUGAGAGGACGACCAGCCACACUGGGACUGAGACACGGCCCAGACUCCUACGGGAGGCAGCAGUGGGGAAUUUUGGGCAAUGGGCGAAAGCCUGAUCCAGCAAUGCCGCGUGUGUGAUGAAGGCCUUCGGGUUGUAAAGCACUUUUGGCGGGAACGAAAAGGACUGUGCCAAUACCACGGUUCGAUGACGGUACCCGCAGAAUAAGCACCGGCUAACUACGUG
This 484-nucleotide ribosomal RNA is filed under the name uncultured bacterium. RNAcentral's name for it is "partial 16S ribosomal RNA". It matches the Rfam family "Bacterial small subunit ribosomal RNA", at positions 29 to 507 of the family's 1533-position model. The record is from RNAcentral.